Molecule: long non-coding RNA, 2466 nt
Organism: Homarus americanus (American lobster)
Lineage: Eukaryota; Metazoa; Arthropoda; Malacostraca; Decapoda; Nephropidae
Exons: 2
Source: RefSeq, a predicted model, not a curated record
UUUCUAUACAAAAUAAAAUGUAAAAUUAAUAUUCAAAUUUUUUAACCAUAAAAAUGUUUUAAAUAUAGUAAUGACAAAAUGAAUUGUAGUGUUUUAGACAAAAUUCCUUAACACUUGACAGAACCAAAUUUAUAAACUCAAUAGAAAAAUAAGAAUUUUUGUUAAUUUGAAUUUUUCACCAAAUGAUCCUUGAGAACAAGUGUCUAGGGAAUAUUAUCAGUAACUGUACAGCAACUUAACCUAAGUGUACAAGUUAUGGUUCAUAUUAACUAAACUAUAAAAACCAAAAACCUUUCAUUACAAAACUUACCCACAAGUGAGUUUAGUUUAACCAUAAUAGUUAUUGAUGUUUAACUACAAUAUUUCCUGUAUCUUUGGUUCAUAGUUUUGUUAAUAUAUUUUAAAUGUUUUCUUUCAAUGACUUGACCCAGAACUUAUUGAUUUGUGAUGAAUAUUUUUACUUUCCACUAACUUUACGUCAAUGAAUUCCUCGAGUGGGUCAGUCACAGGUCUGGUACAGUAUUACAAGUGAAUGUUGCUAAGAGUAAUUUAUUAUUUACUAAACAUACUCAUCUUGUAGGUAACUUUAUGUACUUUACUGAAUUAAUUAAAGUCAAGCAUAAACAUGACCAAUAAUUAUUUCUGGUGUUAUAAAUUUGAUGUAUUAAACGAUUGGUUACGGCCAGAGUCCAGUUUUGGGGCUUUUAACUUUGGUCAAUUAUUAUGAUAUUCCUGUCAUCAAUAAAGGAUCAUAGGUACAGUCAGGAUCAAAAGUGUUGAACACUUGGCAAUAUCUGUCAUCUACUUGAGUUAUAUGAUUGGGAUAUACUGUACUAAUAACACAACAGUACUAUCAUAUUAUGCCUGAACCACAAAAUAGGAUUAAACUCUACUUAAUACCAAAGAUUUUCAGUACUGACAUGCCAAAUACUGUCAAAUGUUCAGCACUUUUGACCAAGACUGUACAUCAGUUCUAGCCCCAUAAUCCCCUUUCAAUAUUCUCGAUCCUUUACACAUUUUCUCUUAUGUAUAUAAAUUUAAGUAUAAUUUCUCCAUUACUUUCUAUUUUGUCUUGAAAUUUAUAGCACCAAGAAAUCUAGUAUGGUCAUUGAAUAUCCCAGAGCAAUUUGUUUGCCUUUGGUUUUAAGGAUAAAUUGGCAGAGAAAUUCCAAUCAGUGUUGGAAAAGUUCAUUUUGACACAGGACGAUAAAGUAAACUUUACUCCCCUGUAAGUGAUCAUUCCGAGGCAAUUUUAUAUGUAGUAUCUUGUUUUUUGUAUAUUUUUACAUCAACUGAACUUGUUAUAUUCUUUACCUGAGGUAGAGAGGAGGGGUGGAUGGCUGGGUCUGGGCUGUAUCACCUGCUUCCUUUAGUUGUGUUGUGAAUCACUUGCCAUCCUGAUAUUGGAGAAGAGAAGCCUAGUACAGCAGUACAAGUGAGGCAAGAUGUGUGGUACAGCAGAGUGCACACCUCUCCUUGCCAAGGUCCAGAACCUACUGGAAGUAAAGUCAAGUUAUUAUCUAUAAAAAGUUUCAAUAACAUAUUUUCACAAUACUAAUUUAUCCUAAUACAGUAUUGUAUAACAUGACCCUAAACUGAAGGUUUUAUCCUCUAUGGAAGUACCACAUUAAUUCACUUAGUCAAGUACAGUAAUUGAAGAAUACAUUAGUGAUGCACCGUUAAUAACCAGAUUCAAAACACUCCCAAUAAUCUGCUGCCAGAGUUAAUGCUAUAAUUUAGGUAAAUUUUAUCAUGCAGGUAAAACAAGUCACUAUAUCGUCUCACCACCAAAGCCAGACUAAAAACAAAGUAUCGGCCAAAUACAGUAUUUAAAUAAAACAAACUUGCCGUUAGUCUGUUCGUCAAUGUUAAAUAACCCAGCCCUCGUCUUGUGUUGGUUAACCAGCCAAGGUGCCCGGGAAAGUCCUUACUAUUGAUGAGAAAAUGAAAGCAAUAAGCGUUGGGUCAGAGGAGCAUCGAGACAACAGAUAAACCAGACCAAGACCAGAAAAUAUUAACUUGCGGUGUUACUAAAUUAAUAUUUAUUUAUUUAUUUAUUAUUGAUGUUAGUCUCUCCUCGUGACGGCCAUAAUUGUUGUAUUAUCCUCAAGUGGUCAUCAGCUUAAUGUUUACUUGUACAGAGAUGGUGGAAAAGACACGCAUUUCUAAGCAACAGUGGCUUUAUUCUAUAUUUAAGACUUAUUUUGGAACAUUUAUUCAUUAUUUACUCAUUCUUUAAUAAAACAGGAUUUAAAUCAUGUUAUUUAUCAUUUUGACUAAAUUUGUUAUAAAAACUCCUCUCCAGCCUCAACAACCUAUGUCGUUCUUAGUUCUAAUUUGGGUAAUAUUGGUCAAUAAAAUAUCGAAUGUACCUUACCGAUGCUACAGUAUGUAAAACAAUCUUUCUCGUCAGUGACAGUCUUUACCAGAUUAUUUUUCUCUUCACAUUAAACAAAAGCUACUUUG